AUUAUUUAAUUAAGUGGUCUAUAAGUCAGUUGAUUAAAUAAAACCUCAAUUUUCAGCCCAGGUGAAGAGAAAAGUUCAGCAGGGCCCAGUCACUGCCAAGUGGGGGUGCCAGCUUGAAUAAAAUAGGAGGGCAGGUAAGCCCCGCCCCACAUAAUUGAUCACAAGACAUGGCCCAUGCUGUGGCAGGAUGCCCAUGCUGUGGCAGCCUUGGUGCCAAGUGUUGCCAGCCUUUCCAUCAUACUGGCCCCGUAAAGUGGUUUGUGUGCUUGUGCUUUUAAAUCCUCUCUCAGAUCCCAGGACAGCUACAAGUUGGAUGUUUGCUAAUCAGUAUCUGAGAGACGUGCCAAAGAGGUCUUGCCAGAACCAGGGGAGCGGUUAAGCUGUGGCUCUUUACCGGUAGAUGCUGUUGGUCUGCAAUUCCCGCCCUCAUCCCUGGACAUUAGCCAUGUUGGCUGCUGGUGCCUGAAGUCCAACAACAUCUGGAGACUGGGCACAGAUGUUCCCCACCGCUGCCAGGAAGCACCCUGUCCCGGACUCUCCAGGCUUUUGCCAGAAGGAUGCUGUGGCCAGCACCACCAUUUCCCAGCUUCUGUGUUGCUCCCAAAGGAGAAAUUUGGUAGCCGCCUUAAGUCGGAGGCAUCCCAUAUAAAGUUACCUUUCCUGUUCAGCAAUGGCCACAAUCAGGAAAGAGAUAAUGAGGCUGACUUGAAAGGAGGGGAAUGGCAGGACAUUCUGUGCUACUCUGGAAGUACUUUGAUCAGUUUAAUGGGGCUAGGAAGGAUCUUCAGGACCAGUUGCUGAGGUGUGCUUGUGCUUCUCCUGCAGACAUUGACCAGAACUCAGAAGACAUUAAUGCCCAGAGGAAUGGUGCAAACAUAACCCCACCCAUUCUGGGAGGGAUUUUUAACUGCCUGCAUAGGGUGCUCAUCAAACUAAUGAAAAUACUGUAGUUAUAGGCAUUCAUUCAUCCUUAUGUCCCAGCAACAUGACUCUCUGUACAGUUUCUUCGCCACUGAGUGGAAUUCAGAAGCAUUAAAAUCAAGAACAUGAUUUGCCACCACGUGCAAUGAACUCUGACCAAAAGUUGGGUAUGUCCCAUGACUAUCCAUAGUACCAAAAGUCCCAGACAUACCUGCCUUUCUGUCUUUAGACAACAAUGAAAAACUUCCUGGUUGUGGCAAAGGGGGACCCCCCUCCCCAAAUAAUGUUACUACUUGAGUUUUUUUUUAAUAACCUCAAAAUAG
Molecule: non-coding RNA, 1244 nt
Organism: Zootoca vivipara (common lizard)
Lineage: Eukaryota; Metazoa; Chordata; Lepidosauria; Squamata; Lacertidae
Source: RefSeq, a predicted model, not a curated record